CUUUUUGACAUGUAGGAAGUUAUGGAGAGAUAUUUUAAACGAAAAUCUCCAUUCUCUAUUGAAGAAAAUGAUGAUGUAGAUAAAUCAAGGAAAGAUAUAAUUAGAGGAGCACGCGUGCAAGCAGGUGCUCAGACUCUUUUGAGUGUAUCAGUUGAUUGUGUUCGAUUUCUCACACGACAAGGACUUGUAUUCAAUGAUGAUGAAUUUGCAGUUUCAGAAGAUCAACGUGAUUUUAUUCAACUUUUGUGGUGGCUGGCCAACAAAAGUGCUGAGAUUAAGGCUAUUAUGAAAAAUGCUCCAGAGAAUCUCGUUUUAAUAGCACGUGAUAUUCAAAAUGAUAUUGCAAGUGUUGCUGCUGUUGAAAUGCUGAGUGUUAUUAUUGAAGAUAUUGGUGAUGCCUUAUUCUCAAUUCUACUUGAUAAGUCUUCUGAUGUCUCACAAGAGGAGCAAAUGUCUAUUGUGUUGCGUUAUGUGAACAACACUGGAGAUGUAGUCGAACAUUUUAUGGGUAUUGAACACGUUUCUAGUGCCACAUCUUUCUCACUUAAGGCAGUUAUAGAUAAAUUAUUCUGUAAAUACGGGUUGAGUAUUUCUAGAUUGAGAGGACAAGGUUAUGAGGUGGCUAGCGAUAUUCAAGGUGAGUUUAAUGGUCUCAAAGAACUUAUUUUGAAAGAGAAUCCGUGUGCUUUUUACAUUCAUUGCUUUGCUCAUCGACUUGAACAAGCUCUUGUACAUGUUGCAAAGAAUCAUAGGGAGAUUGGAUCACUAUUCAGUUUGGUUUCUAGGAUGGUGAAUACUGUUGGAGUAUUGUCUAAUCGUUGUGAUCUUCUCAGACAGAAACAAGCAGCCAUAAUUUCGAAUGCACUUGAGAACAGUGAGAUUUCAAAUGGACAAAGUUUCGAUCAACAUAGUACUGUUAAUUCUCCUCAUGAUCCACAUUGGGGAUCACACUAUGGUACUUUGACCACUUUGAUUACCAUGUUCUCGCCCAUACUUGAUGUCCUUGAAAUGAUUGUUGAUGUUGAAUCAUAUCCUAAUAAAAGAUCUUGGGCAAAUUAUUUAUUAGAUUGGAUGCAAUCAUUUGACUUUGCAUUUAGUCUACAUCUCAUGAGAACUAUUUUAGGAAUUUCCAAUGAAUUGUCAAAGGCAUUACAAAAGAAAGAUGAAGAUAUUGUAAAUGCCAUAAAUUUAGUGAAAGUAUGUAAACAACAACUCCAAUUGAUUAGGGAGAAUGGGUGGGAUUCUCUUUUGGAACAAGUACGUUCUUUUUGUCAAAAGAACUAUAUUGAUGUUCUGAACAUGGAUGGUACCUUUACGUAUAAAGGUCGCCCAAGGCGGAAUAUUGAAGAAAUGACAAAUUUGCAUUACUUCCGUGAGGGUUUAUUCUAUAAUGUCAUUGAUAUGCAACUUCAAGAGUUGAAUGAUCGAUUCACCGAGGUAAAUAAUGAGCUUCUUCUUUGUGUAGCAUGCUUAUGCCCCAAUGAUUCAUUCUCAUUUUUUGAUAAGGAAAAGAUAGUUCGCCUUGCUUAGUAUUAUCCAAACGACUUUUCAACAACAGAGUUUAUGAAACUUGAUGAUCAACUUGAGGCUUAUAUCACUGAUAUUCGCUCUAGCAAAGAGUUCAAAGAAUUACGGGGCCUUAGUAAUCUUUCAAAGAAGUUGAAUGCAACUAAGAAAAAUGAAGUGUAUCCAUUAGUUUACAAGCUUGUGAAUUUGGCAUUAAUUCUUCCCAUUGCUACUCCUACAGUUGAAAGAGUCUUAACUGCAAAUAACAUUGUGAAGGCUCGAUUGCGCAAUAAAAUUGGAGAUCGGUGGAUGAAUGACAACUUAGUUGUAUAUAUUGAAAACGAUGUAUUCGAAAAAAUAGAUGAUGAUGUCAUUAUGCGUGGUUUCCGAAGUGUGAAAACCUGUUGGGGACAAUGGUAACUUGUUGUGACGUUUUUAAUAUUAUUUUGUUAUUGGCUUAUUUCCAAAAUUUAUAUGUUGUCAAGUCUUUA
This 1997-nucleotide long non-coding RNA is filed under the name Olea europaea subsp. europaea. Lineage: Eukaryota; Viridiplantae; Streptophyta; Magnoliopsida; Lamiales; Oleaceae. The record is from RNAcentral.